GUGGGUUGAAGAAUUGAAGAAAAGCAUGCAAAAGUGGAGAAUUCAUGAAGAAGUGAAGGAUUUGUAGAGCUGCCAAUUCUAACCUCUUUGUACUAAAGUGAUCAUAACUUAAGC
Molecule: non-coding RNA, 114 nt
Organism: Arachis ipaensis
Lineage: Eukaryota; Viridiplantae; Streptophyta; Magnoliopsida; Fabales; Fabaceae
Source: RefSeq, a predicted model, not a curated record